Molecule: transfer RNA, 63 nt
Filed under: Luteibacter rhizovicinus
Lineage: Bacteria; Pseudomonadati; Pseudomonadota; Gammaproteobacteria; Lysobacterales; Rhodanobacteraceae
Also listed under: 1 other name
Source: RNAcentral
GGCCGAAAGGCAACCUAACUGUUAAUCAGGGGGUCGUUGGUUCGAGUCCAACUUCGGGCGCCA